This 21-nucleotide non-coding RNA is filed under the name Caenorhabditis elegans. Lineage: Eukaryota; Metazoa; Nematoda; Chromadorea; Rhabditida; Rhabditidae. The record is from RNAcentral.
UUUGAUCGAAGGUUAAAUAUA